GAUGAACGCUGGCGGCGUGCUUAACACAUGCAAGUCGAACGGAAAGGCCAGUGCUUGCACUGGUACUCGAGUGGCAAACGGGUGAGUAACACGUGGGUGAUCUGCCCUGUACUUCGGGAUAAGCUUGGGAAACUGGGUCUAAUACCGGAUAGGACAACUUUUUGGAUAUUGUUGUGGAAAGCUUUUGCGGUAUGGGAUGAGCUCGCGGCCUAUCAGCUUGUUGGUGGGGUAAUGGCCUACCAAGGCGUCGACGGGUAGCCGGCCUGAGAGGGUGUACGGCCACAUUGGGACUGAGAUACGGCCCAGACUCCUACGGGAGGCAGCAGUGGGGAAUAUUGCACAAUGGGCGCAAGCCUGAUGCAGCGACGCCGCGUGGGGGAUGAAGGCCUUCGGGUUGUAAACUCCUUUCGCUAGGGACGAAGCUUUUUUGUGACGGUACCUGGAGAAGAAGCACCGGCUAACUACGUG
RNAcentral lists this ribosomal RNA (468 nucleotides) under uncultured bacterium. Its description in RNAcentral is "partial 16S ribosomal RNA". It matches the Rfam family "Bacterial small subunit ribosomal RNA", at positions 28 to 507 of the family's 1533-position model. The record is from RNAcentral.